CUUGCUUUUGUAAUUCUAGUGGCGGACGGGUGAGUAACGCGUGAGCAACCUGCCCUUCAGUGGGGGAUAACACAGGGAAACCUGUGCUAAUACCGCAUAACACACAUUGAUGGCAUCAUGAAUAUGUCAAAGAUUUAUCGCUGAAGGAUGGGCUCGCGUCCAAUUAGGUAGUUGGUGAGGUAACGGCCCACCAAGCCGACGAUUGGUAGCCGGGCUGAGAGGCUCAACGGCCACAUUGGGACUGAGACACGGCCCAGACUCC
Molecule: ribosomal RNA, 262 nt
Filed under: uncultured bacterium
Lineage: Bacteria
Description: partial 16S ribosomal RNA
Rfam family: Bacterial small subunit ribosomal RNA
Source: RNAcentral